RNAcentral lists this ribosomal RNA (496 nucleotides) under uncultured bacterium. RNAcentral's name for it is "partial 16S ribosomal RNA". It matches the Rfam family "Bacterial small subunit ribosomal RNA", at positions 28 to 507 of the family's 1533-position model. The record is from RNAcentral.
GAUGAACGCUGGCGGCGUGCCUAACACAUGCAAGUCGAGCGGACGGACGAGAAGUUUGCUUCUUUGAUGUUAGCGGCGGACGGGUGAGUAACACGUGGAUAACCUCCCUAUAAUACUGGGAUAACUUCGGGAAACCGGAGCUAAUACCGGAUAAUCUUUUGAACCGCAUGGUUCAAAAGUGAAAUACGGUGUUGCUGUCAGUUAUAGAUGGAUCCGCGCUGCAUUAGCUUGUUGGUGAGUUAACGGCUUACCAAGGCAACGAUGCAUAGCCGACCUGGGAGGGUGAGGGGCCACAGUGGAACUGAGACGCGGUCCAGGCUCCUACGGGAGGCAGCGGUAGCGAAGGGGCCGCAAUGGGCGAAAGCCUGACGGAGCAGCGGCGCGUGAGUGAUGAAGGUCUGCGGAUCGGAGAACGCUGUUAUUAGGGAAGAACAGAUGUGUAAGUAACUGUGCGCGUCUGAACGGUACCGAUACAGAAGGCCCCGCUAAACUCGGG